RNAcentral lists this long non-coding RNA (1848 nucleotides) under Capra hircus (goat). RNAcentral describes it as "lncRNA (ENSCHIG00010003836.1)". Lineage: Eukaryota; Metazoa; Chordata; Mammalia; Artiodactyla; Bovidae. The record is from RNAcentral.
UUAAUAGUAUUUAGCAAAACAAGAUAAAAAUGAUCCUUCUUUUCCUACGCAAGCAUGGUCAUUAUACACAUGAGAAGAAUGCUUAAUUUGUCCCAUCGUCUUCCAAAUAAUCAUCCCUGCUGAUUAUGCUGUAAUUUUUCAUUUUUUUGUGCCUACAUAGCACCCAAACAGUAUUGCAGCUAUGUUAAUACAUGUGAAAAAGUCACAUUCAUUUACACAGUCUGUAAUAUUUCUGAAAUGCAGUCUGAGUUGCUGCUAAAACUAGAAUUUUUCAGAUUCUUUCAAUUGUCUUCCAUGAGUAAUUCAAUACACAUGGAAGGGUAAAAAAGUAAACACUUUUAUGAUAAUCCAAAUUUUUCCAAUGGAAUUUUAAACAAUUUGACAGUUCAGUCUUGUUAAAAAGUGAUAUAAAAUAUAUGCUUCUUAGCAAACAAUUGUCCAGUAAAUAUUAUAAUUCUGUCUCAUAUUCUUGUACUGGAUUGUUUUCUGAGCCUUUCAAUAGAAUUCCUUCAAAUUAGAGCUCAAUGACCUUCUUUAUAUUUUAUCCAAGGUUCGAAAUACAUGAACCUGUCUGUACUUAUUUGAACAAUGGCCUCUAUUAUGGUGUCUUUUUCUUUAAAUCCAAAUAUUAUGCUCAGCAUUUUAGGAAUUCUCUAUUCCAAAUACAGGCAAUUAAAUUGUCUGUAAGUUACUCAGAGCCUUAGAAAAUGAAAUGAAACAAGAGUUCGUACUUUGAAAUGAGUUCAAAAAUGUAUACCAUUUGUCAAUGCUAGUUCCUUUCAAAUAGUCCUCAUUAUCUUCUGCUUCUGCUGUUAACAGAUGAAAUAAUCUGACACAGACUUCUCUAACAAAGCUGUUUCCUUCCUAGGAGAAGUUUGGCCUUUCUCAACAAUCAAGAAUCAAAUUCUUGACCUUGAAAAUGGGAGAGAGAACAGAAUGCUUCCUGAUGCCAUAGUAAGCUGAAUGAAACUUCAAACAGCCCCCAGGAUAAAUAGGGGGACACAUAUAAGCAUUUGUAUUGUUUCUGCCAACUUCUAGCACUAACUUGGAGCUGAUAGCCAGAGAGCCUCUACAGUAAGAGAUCACAAAUCUGGAACUUGGGAAACCCUGGAGGCAAUGCCCAAAGUCAGGGCUCAGAUGCAAGUUCACAUCAGCGUCCUGGCCUACAUUUGGUGUCAUGGCUCUGGAUUGAUACCAGAAAAAAUUAUCAGCAUCUUUUUCUGUUCAGUGUUCCUUCAAUCCACCAUUUUUGCACUGGUCUUGUAAUCUAGUGUUCCAAGAGUGUGGUUCUGUUUCUCUCUUAGAAACCUUGAUAUAACAAGGAAGGAAGCAAGUGUUUAUGAAAUCAGUUUAUAGGAAGAGAUGAAAGAAUGAUGGUCUCAUUUUGAGAUAUUUAAAUAUUAACCACAUGAAUCUAAUUGGUAGACUUUUAAAUAGUAUAGAGAAAGCUUUUGGGAGCUAGGAUUUCCUCUUAAAGCAAAGAGGAUAGGGUCACAUUUUUAUUUUUUCCUUAUUAUCAUUUUCUCCCUUUUCUCCCUGAACCACCUCACCUCCUUCCACAUCUCCUUCUUGGUUGUGGAUAAGGGAUGUCCAUUGGUGCUGCUGUAUUCCUCUUCCAUCACAUCCUCAUCUAGUGUCUGAAGUUCAGACUGUUCUGUCUUAACUUCAUUUUUCAGUAAUGGGCUGUAACAGGAGACCAGUUCUUCUUAAAUGUCUCAGAGGAACUAUAAAUUGCACAUCUGAAAAAUUCACUCCCUACACCCCGUAUCUUUUCCUUACCUGGAAAGUGAAAGUAGCUCAGUCCAUGGAAUUCUCUAGGCCAGACUACUGGAGUGGGUAGCCUUUCCC